This is a long non-coding RNA of Anthonomus grandis grandis, 2513 nucleotides long. RefSeq lists it as uncharacterized. Lineage: Eukaryota; Metazoa; Arthropoda; Insecta; Coleoptera; Curculionidae. The record is from RefSeq and is a predicted model, not a curated record. The transcript has 3 exons.
UUUAAAUCAAUUUUUAAUUGUUGAAUAGAAAAUGAGAGGCCAGACAUUUUGUAAUAUGUAUUUAUAAUAAUCAAGUUAAAAAUUAAAUACGGAAACCGGGGUUGGUUGUUACAGGGGCUGGUUGUUACACUUAGUUUAAAUCGCGCGUCAACAUCGAUGCAGCGCCAUUACAUCAAUUGUCAAUUCGUUGUUUACCGGCAACCGAGCAGUGUAGUUCUGCUGUUCCAUUGCUCAUAUUUAUUCGAUAAAUGCAGUGUGUGUGUCUUCUAACCUUGAAAGCAAUUAUUAGUUUACCGGACUUUACCGCGAAUUUAUUUUAUCAUUUUUCCUGUGUAAGUGGAAUAGAUUUGCUAUAUCGUAAGGAAAUACAUCUAAAUGCGAUAAUAUGAGAAACUUCAAAAGAAAAACCGACAAGGGACGUAUACCACUAGACACCUUUCGUAUUGCUGCAAAAGAAGUAUUGGAAAAUUAAAGAUCUCUUAGGACGGUUGCUGAACAAUAUGGUGUAAAUUUCAUGACCCUGCAGAGAUAUUGCAAAAAAAUUAAAAAUAAAAAGCUAAAUGAUCCGGAUCCUACGGUUGGCUAUACAAGGAACCGUCAAAUUUUAUCUGAUGCGAUGGAAGCUGAGCUAGAGAAGUACUUAAUAGAGUGUUCUAAAAUGUAUUUUGGUCUGUCAACCAAAGAAGUUCGAAGAUUGGGAUUUGAAUUUGCUAUUAAGAACAACGUUGAAAUUCAUCAAGCUUGGCAUGAAAACUCAAUGGCCUCAGGAGACUGGUUAUCUGGAUUUCUUAAGCGUCAUCCAAAGCUAUCUUUGCGGACUCCCGAAGCAACCAUUCUGAGCAGAGCAACGAGCUUCAAUCGGGAAAAUGUAUACAGAUUUUUUGAUCUAUUGGAGGAAGUCAUGGAUAGGUACAAAUUUGAAUGCUAAGAUAUUUACAACGUAGAUGAGACGGGGAUUACUACGGUCCAAAAACCAGACAGAAUAAUAGCAAAUAAGGGUGUAAAACAAGUGGGGAGUGUGACUUCUGCCGAAAGAGGUGCUUUAGUUACAAUAGCCCUGGCUGUAGGUGCUAGUGGAAAUACAGUUCCUCCAAUAUUUGUUUUCCCUAGAAAAAACUAUAAAAGUUAUUUUGUUGCAAAUGGCCCAAGCGGAUGUAUUGGAACUGCAAACAAAUCAGGCUGGAUGAUCCAAGAGGACUUGGUCAAAUUUCUUGAACAUUUCAUAAAGCAUACAAGGUGUUCAAAAGAACGACCAGUUUUGUUAAUCCUAGACAAUCACGACUUACAUCUUUCAAUUAGAGGAAUAGAUAUUUGUAGGCAAAAUGGUGUUAUAAUUUUAUCUCUAAAGUCCAGUGCGACGAUAUAUUAGAAUGAUCACCCGUCAAAACACCAGCAUUUUACUUCUCAAACAAUGUAAAUAGAAGGUGGAUGACAUUGUUUGGUAGGUGGAAUGCUGGUGUUUUGACGGGUGACCAUUCUAAUAUAUCGUUGCACUGGACUUUACCUCCACACUGUUCCCAUAAACUUCAGCCCUUAGACAGGUCCGUCUAUGGCCCACUGAAGAAAUAUGUUAAUAGUUAGAAAAUGAUAAUAAUCCUCCCGGAAAUGAAGAAACUGUUAUAGAGAAGGCAAUAAAUAGUAUUGAAACCUCCAGAGAUGGCUUAAAAACGCCUGAACCUAAGGAAUUUGAAGUUGUUGCCGUUUCAAAAUCCCCUACUACUUCAAAUAUCCCGCCGUCUUUUGCCCCUAAUUCCAAACAUCCUCCAAAUACCAACUAGAGUUGAGUCGCCGAAGCCUGGUUCUUCACAUGAUAUAUCGCCGAAGACUGGUUAUUCACGUGAUAUAUCGCCGAGGCCUGAUUGUCCACAGGAUACCAAAAGUAAUACGCUCUAUUUCAGCCCUUCAGAUAUACGUCCAUUUCCAAAAGCUGGAAUUCGUAAAACUAAUUUCAGGGGUCGUAAAGUCGCUAUCCUAACCGAUACUCCGAACAAAACAGAACUUGAAUUGGAACAAGAAAAACGAAAUGCCAGAAAAAAGAAACAAGAGUUAAAAAUUAUCAGAGUUAAUCUUACAGGAAACACAAAAGGAAAACAAAUAAAAAAGUGUAAAAAACCUGCUGAAGGCGAAUCGAGUGGUGAUGAAGAUGACCCCUUUUGCUUGGUUUGCUUUGGACUUUAUUCAAAAUCAAAGCCGGCUGAAGAAUGGAUCAGAUGUACCAAAUGUCACCAAUGGGCUCAUAGUCUCUGUGUAGAUGCCGAUUUGUUCUUUGUCUGUAUCAACUGUGACUCAGAUGACGAUGCUUAAUGGUGUAACAACCAACCCGAAGGAUAUAACAACCAACCCCGUUACGGGGUUGGUUGUUACAUUUGUCAUUACUUGUUAUAACCAUUGACAGUUUAUUUUGUGUUUAAUAUAUAUUUAUUUUGCAUUAUUUGUUAGUUACAGAAAAGUAUAAGCUAAAUAAAACUAUUAUAAGAUGUUCAUAAAGUUUCAAUAAAAUAAAAUUACAAGUA